Molecule: long non-coding RNA, 260 nt
Filed under: Lathyrus oleraceus (garden pea)
Lineage: Eukaryota; Viridiplantae; Streptophyta; Magnoliopsida; Fabales; Fabaceae
Description: Pisum sativum (pea) long non-coding RNA (PSAT_LNC025997)
Source: RNAcentral
AAAGCGCGGGAUAUCUUUAAUCUUGCAAAGAAAGCCAUUGAUGAUAGCAUGUGGUCUGCGUAUAAGAUGAGCAAUGGAAUAAUAAGAAUAGGAAUCCUUCCGGAAAAUUCCAAGGUGGCGCCAAGUAAUUUUUUUAAUAAAAUUUUAUAAGUAUUGUAUUGGGCUGGACUCUUAAAUCAAAAUUUGGGCCAGCUUAUCCCAUCCCAUAGAGCAUUUAAUUUAAUUUUUCUAUAUUGAUAAAUUUCGAAAAUUUUAGAAUU